GCGAGUGAAGCGGCAAAAGCUCAAAUUUGAAAUCUAGCACUUUCAGUGUUCGAGUUGUAAUUUGAAGAAGGUAUCUUUGGAGUUGGCCCCUGUCUAUGUUCCUUGGAACAGGACGUCACAGAGGGUGAGAAUCCCGUGCGAUGGGGAGACCAAUUCUAUGUAAAGUUCCUUCGAAGAGUCGAGUUGUUUGGGAAUGCAGCUCUAAGUGGGUGGUAAAUUCCAUCUAAAGCUAAAUAUUGGCGAGAGACCGAUAGCGAACAAGUACAGUGAUGGAAAGAUGAAAAGAACUUUGAAAAGAGAGUGAAAAAGUACGUGAAAUUGUUGAAAGGGAAGGGCUUUUGAUCAGACUUGGUGUUUAGUACUCUCUACUCCUUGUGGGUGGGGCUCUUGCUUUAUACUGGGCCAGCAUCGGUUUGGAUGGCAGGAUAAUGACUUUGGAAUGUGGCUUCAUUCGUGGAGUGUUAUAGCCUUUGUUGAUACUGCCUAUCUAGACCGAGGACUGCGUCUUUUGACUAGGAUGCUGGCGUAAUGAUUAAAAGCCGCCC
This 545-nucleotide ribosomal RNA is filed under the name [Candida] sp. GJ15M15. RNAcentral describes it as "eukaryotic LSU rRNA". It matches the Rfam family "Eukaryotic large subunit ribosomal RNA", at positions 89 to 650 of the family's 3401-position model. RNAcentral also lists the same sequence under 1 other name. Lineage: Eukaryota; Fungi; Ascomycota; Saccharomycetes; Saccharomycetales. The record is from RNAcentral.